This 205-nucleotide small nucleolar RNA is filed under the name Oryzias latipes (Japanese medaka). RNAcentral's name for it is "Small nucleolar RNA U3 (ENSORLG00000023759.1)". It matches the Rfam family "Small nucleolar RNA U3". Rfam says of the family: Small nucleolar RNAs (snoRNAs) are involved in the processing and modification of rRNA in the nucleolus. Lineage: Eukaryota; Metazoa; Chordata; Actinopteri; Beloniformes; Adrianichthyidae. The record is from Rfam by way of RNAcentral.
AAGACUCUACUUUCAGGGAUCAUUUCUUUAGUCUGGAACUAGAGGAUUGUGUUUCUACAGAGGUUGGUCUAGCUGUCCAUGAUGAUGAUGAAGAUGUUUCCUUCAGAGCAGGAAGCUGGUGAGAAGAUGAGAAUCUUCUUCACUGAUGAAGACUGUUCAGUGUUUCUGGAUGUGACACUGAAGGAGGAAACAUUGUCUGAGUGGA